CCAAUAGCGUAUAUUAAAGUUGUUGCAGUUAAAAAGCUCGUAGUUGAAUUUCGGGAUCAGUACGCUGGUCAUGCCUUUGGUAUGCACUGGUGUCACUGGUUUCUCCCUUCUGAAGAUCCGUGAUGUCAUUAAUUUGGUGUCGCGGGGAAUCAGGACUGUUACUUUGAAAAAAUUAGAGUGUUUAAAGCAGGCUCACGCUUGAAUACAUUAGCAUGGAAUAAUGAAAUAGGACGUUUGACCCUAUUUUGUUGGUUUCUAGGAUCGACGUAAUGAUUAAUAGGGAUAGUUGGGGGCAUUAGUAUUCAAUUGUCAGAGGUGAAAUUCUUGGAUUUAUUGAAGACUAACUACUGCGAAAGCAUUUGCCAAGGAUGUUUUCAUUAAUCAAGAACGAAAGUUAGGGGAUCGAAGACGAUCAGAUACCGUCGUAGUCUUAACCAUAAACUAUGCCGACUAGGGAUCGGAUGAUGUUAAUUUUAUAAUGACUCAUUCGGCGCCUUACG
Molecule: ribosomal RNA, 500 nt
Filed under: uncultured Glomus
Lineage: Eukaryota; Fungi; Glomeromycota; Glomeromycetes; Glomerales; Glomeraceae
Also listed under: 1 other name
Description: SSU rRNA
Rfam family: Eukaryotic small subunit ribosomal RNA
Source: RNAcentral